ACAAAAUUAAUGUCAAAGUGGAUCAAAAAGACAUUGGAUCAGAUGGAAGAGAGGCCCAAAAGAAAUUGGACGAACAAGGCUAGCCCACAAGCANNNNNNNNNNNNNNNNNNNNNNNNNNNNNNCCGCCACGUAGUGCUUCCUUCCUACUUUCACGGGCACGUUUCACACGGCUUUAUCCUCAACUCAACUGCUCCUCAGAUUUCGGUGCUCCUCAGAUUUCGGUGGAAGCAACUAAGAUAUGAACGUUUCUUAUAACGGAACGACGAUUUAGAAGGAGAUAUUUCUAUUUCAUGAAGACUAUAAAUAGAGAACACUAGUCAGUGUUUUUCACACAUGAUUCUACGCAGACUUAAGAGAAAAAUUUAGUUUAAAAUUUUAGUUGUUAAGUGUUUUAGUUUACGGAGCAAAAAGGUGUGGUGCUGCUGCUUACACUUCCAGUUCCAGCUUCAAUCAGUCUUUGAUUUCCUUUGUUCCGGUGUACUUGUACUAGUUUCACUAGUAUUUGUAAGUUUUAAUAACAGUACUUUUAUUUUAUUCAGUUUGAAUAUUCAGAUUUAUGCUUUGAUAUAAUUACCAAUUCAAGUUUAAUUUUAUUAUAUUCCAGUUUGAUAUUCGUAUGCUCUGU
This 626-nucleotide long non-coding RNA is filed under the name Trifolium pratense (red clover). Its description in RNAcentral is "long non-coding RNA (TPRA_LNC005292)". Lineage: Eukaryota; Viridiplantae; Streptophyta; Magnoliopsida; Fabales; Fabaceae. The record is from RNAcentral.